This 492-nucleotide ribosomal RNA is filed under the name uncultured bacterium. Its description in RNAcentral is "partial 16S ribosomal RNA". It matches the Rfam family "Bacterial small subunit ribosomal RNA", at positions 29 to 507 of the family's 1533-position model. The record is from RNAcentral.
AGUGAACGCUGGCGGUAGGCCUAACACAUGCAAGUCGAACGGCAGCACAGUAAGAGCUUGCUCUUACGGGUGGCGAGUGGCGGACGGGUGAGGAAUACAUCGGAAUCUACUUUUUCGUGGGGGAUAACGUAGGGAAACUUACGCUAAUACCGCAUACGACCUACGGGUGAAAGCAGGGGAUCUUCGGACCUUGCGCGAUUGAAUGAGCCGAUGUCGGAUUAGCUAGUUGGCGGGGUAAAGGCCCACCAAGGCGACGAUCCGUAGCUGGUCUGAGAGGAUGGUCAGCCACACUGGAACUGGAGCACGGUCCAGACUCCUACGGGAGGCAGCAGUGGGGAAUAUUGGACAAUGGGCGCAAGCCUGAUCCAGCCAUACCGCGUGGGUGAAGAAGGCCUUCGGGUUGUAAAGCCCUUUUGUUGGGAAAGAAAAGCAGCAGGUUAAUACCCCGCUGUUCUGACGGUACCCAAAGAAUAAGCACCGGCUAACUUCGUG